GUUGGCUCACAUUACCCUCUCUCCCACACAAGGCUCGCACCGGAGGCUGCUCUGUAAUUUCACACAGGCGCGGCGCGGCGGCGAUUCCCCACCGGCGAUAUGUCGACGGACGGACUUGAGCUCGACGGGAGGGGGGAGCACACAUCGGCGGAUGGGGUUGUGAUGUGUUUUCAGUGGAAUCCCAAGAUUCCAUGAGUGCACCAGUUCUUGAGCUCGAGAAGGGCGGCGAAGGACGUAGAGCUGGAGAUGGACAGAGAUACGAGGUCUGCUUUGAAGCUACCAGCGGCCGGACGAGGAGUCUGUAGGCAAAGAGAAACAGAGCACUUAGGUGGUUCCCCGCUCCGGCGGCGGCUCAACUCCAAUCUGCAGAACACCGGAUCUGCCAAGGGCAAGGCCCUCGUCCACGGAUCUGAAGGGGAAAAAUCAUUUUCUUCGUUGUUUCGGUCGGUGAGGCUGUAUCACACGUCAAUUACUUGCGCUUUUCUCCUAGCUAUUGUUCAUCAGUUUCAGAUUUGAACUUUUUUGGUGAUUUUUAUUUUGUUCCAUCUAUUCCUUUGGUACGGGUGAUCUAGCUGUAUGGCUCGAUCGAGAUGCAUAUCACUUUUCUUGUUGACUCCGAAAUAGACUGCUCUCCUUUAUUUUCUUGUAAUCCCCUUCCAUCUAUUCCUUCUGUACAGAUGUGGUUUUCUUUUGUUUACUUGUAAUCCCCUUUGUCCGGAUUGGAUAGGUCUCUCCUCAUCUUGUUGUUGCGCAGAUCCGAAUUUGCCGUGAUGUAUUUUUAGACAAUUUAGAGAAUUUUUUUAUUCAUACCCAUGCUUAUGUGCCAGACCGGCUUAAUUUUUGUGAUUUCUUAGAUUCCUCUAACUUGGAUAAUAGAUGGUUAAUCGUACUGGAACUUAAUAGUAGAUUUGAUGUUCUGUUCUUGAUGUGCUAAUCCAAGGUUGAUAAUUAUUUCAUUCAAGUGGGGUAAAGUUUGAAUUCCUACCACUGAUUGCAAAGAUCUUCUGUUCCAUGGAUUUCAGUUUGUUUUGUUGACCCCUUUCCCACUACAGUCACAGAACUGAGCAAUGUUGAUGGUCAAGUGUGCCGUGGCGGCGAGGCCACAUUCCUUGCCGGAAACGCUGGUUCGGGAGCUACAAGUGGCUGGACAAGAAGAAUCAUGCUGAUAUGGUCUGUAUCAUGAACCCUGAAGUAGAAGGCUGCAUUUUCCUACUGUUGUGAUCUUGUAAUAUUGCCUUCUGGCCAAAUCAGCAAAAUCCCUGGUUGAAGCUGCGCAAGCUCUGUUUCUUUGGCUGUUGUUCCCUCUCAGCAAUCCAUUCGACUCGGGUAUAUGUUUGUAAUUAUUGUAAUGGAUUUGUACCAUUUGUGAACCAUGUCAAAUUGUUAAGGUGGGUGAUGGGUAUUACAACUAUGUAUGCAUGGUUGCUAGUUCUGUGCGUAGAACUUGAUCUGUGUAUUAGUCAAAACCGACACAUGUUGUGUGUUAGCUUAACAGGAAGAAACUGCAAUUGUCAAUGAGAGCAAUAUGUCGAGAAGGGAGAUGGCCCAGUGGUCUAAUGAUUUCUGUAACGGAGUGUUUGAAUCAUCUUCGUCUGGCAAACUAUUGUUAAUUGCUUUUCCCAACCGUGACCAUCCAUUCUUGGUGUAGGCG
This is a long non-coding RNA of Triticum aestivum (bread wheat), 1651 nucleotides long. RefSeq lists it as uncharacterized. The record is from RefSeq and is a predicted model, not a curated record. NCBI's taxonomy places the organism in Eukaryota, Viridiplantae, Streptophyta, Magnoliopsida, Poales, Poaceae. The transcript is spliced from 4 exons.